This is a non-coding RNA of Pelobates cultripes (western spadefoot toad), 674 nucleotides long. The record is from the annotation of a GenBank genome assembly. Lineage: Eukaryota; Metazoa; Chordata; Amphibia; Anura; Pelobatidae.
CUCUGGCUUCAGCUUAUCUACCCACGACUGCUGCUGCUUGUCCCGUGACCACCCGCUCACAGACCCGUAUCGAGGACGAUCCUCCAGCAGAACGGGAGACCCAGGUAAGCCACAAACAGACACUCAGCCCUAACACGGUAGAAAGACCCAUAGCUUGGGACACCCCAGAAGAGUUUGGGAGGGAAACUAGACAGGACCCCACCCUCCAAAAGUAUCGGGAAUUAGCCGACAGUGGGGGGGAUGAGCGGGAGCGUUUUAUAUGGGAGGGUGACAGAUUAUACAGGUUGACCCAAGGUAGGAGGAGAGGCUGUAUCCCUUUGUAGAAGCGCCAACUAGUGGUACCCAGAAAGUACCGGUUGGAACUUCUCCGAAUUGGACAUGACAUUCCGUUGGCAGGGCACUUAGGGGGUAACUGCACUGCCUACAGGAUCACACAGACCUUUUUCUGGCCUGGGAUCUCGAAGGACGUGCAGCAUUACUGCAGUACCUGUGACACAUGCCAACGAGUAGGGAAGAGAGGGGACCACCCUAAAGCUCGACUGUCACCCAUGCCUGUGAUCGAGGAACCGUUUAGCCGGGUGGCAGUCGACCUAGUGGGAUCCCUACCUAACCCCAGUCCCUCGGGUAAGAAGUAUAUUCUUACAGUAGUGGACUAUGCUACCCGCUACCCAGAG